AUGCUCCGCCUCCGGUGCUCCAUCCUCACCCACCUCCUCUCUUUCCGGGCCACCUCUCCCGUAUCCCCUCUCCACCGCCUCCUCUCCGCGGCCGUCUCCCCCGACCCUGUCUCCGCCUUCGCCGUCGACGACUACCUCGUCCGUACCUGCGGCCUCACCCCAGCACAGGCCCUCAAGGCCUCCCCCAAACUCUCCCACCUCAAAUCCCCCGCCAACCCCGACGCCGUGCUCGCCUUCCUCGCCGGCCUCGGCCUCUCCGGCGCCGACGUCGCCGCCGCCGUAGCCAGGGACCCGCAUCUGCUCUGCGCCCAAGUGGAGAAGACCCUGGCCCCCGUCGUCGCCGGGCUCACCGGCCUCGGUCUCUCGCCUUCUGAGAUCGCACACCUCGUCUCGCUUGGCCCCCACAGAUUCCGUCGCAGAUCCAUCGUCUCCAAGCUUGAGUACUGCCUGACCCUCUUCGGCUCCUCCGACAACCUCUUUAGAGCCCUCAAGAGUGGCUCCGUUCUCUCCUCCGACCUCGAGGGGGUGGUCAAGCCCAAUGUCACCUUCCUGCAGGAGUGCGGGCUAGGUGCUUGUGACAUUGCCAAGCUCUACGUACUUAUGCCAUCGUCGCUCAGCAUCAGCACGGAACACAUCCGGACAGCAGUGGCGUGCGUCGAAGGUCUUGGUGUACCCCGUGGAUCUCGGAUGUUCAAGCACGCGCUACGAGCUGUUGCAUUCCUCAGCGAGGAGGAAAUCACCACCAAGAUAGAGCACUUGAAGAAAACGUUCAGGUGGUCAGAUGCCGAGGUGGGCAUUGCUGUUUCUAAGGCUCCAGGAGUGCUGUCGAAGUCUAAAGAAUCGCUGGAGCGAAGGUUCGAGUUCCUCAUCUCCGAGGUGGGGUUGGAACCGGCAUACAUUGCUUAUCGUCCAGCAAUGCUCAUGUACAGCUUGGAGGGCAGGAUGAGACCUCGAUACUACGCUGUAAAGUUUCUUAAGGAAAAUGGAUUGAUAGAUCAUGACCGGGACUUCUUUAAUACAGUCAUGGUCAGUGAGAAGGUAUUCGUCGAGAAGUUCAUAUGCCCUCAUAAGGAUGCUGCACCUCACCUCGCUGAUGACUAUGGAGCAGCUUGCAGAGGAGAGGUUCCAGCUAGAUUCAGUUUCACAUGA
This 1149-nucleotide ribosomal RNA is filed under the name Triticum aestivum (bread wheat). RNAcentral's name for it is "partial small subunit ribosomal RNA". The record is from RNAcentral. Lineage: Eukaryota; Viridiplantae; Streptophyta; Magnoliopsida; Poales; Poaceae.